GGCCCGAAAGCUCUAGAAUGCACCCCCCUUCUUCCCCGGGGCCUUCCACCUCCGCGAGUUUUAUGACUUAAAAAACCCCACAGGCUGGUCUGAAGGUCGGAGGCCUAAUUUUAACGCGUUUUCCUCCCUUUAAUUUGAAACGCGAACGCGAAUGGCUGUAAAAUGUGGGCACAAUAUUUAAUUUCUCGCCUUUUUAAAGCUUAAUAGUGGAUAAUAGGGGGCAGUAUCAAGGGAUAAUUUGGGUCCCCACAGUACCAAAGCAUUUAGAAACCUCUGUUUAAUUUAAGGAAUGAGAUAAAUUACUGCUUUUCUAGACUUCCUAGCAUGGGCUGUUGUGCUGGAGAGAACGAGAGCUACGAAGAGACUACAAUGCCUCUGACUUUUUCAUAGGACAGUUGGCCGAGGAAGACAAACAUAAAGAUGAAGUGCUUAAUUCAAGGUCACACAAUGUCGGGGAUGGACCUCCAGAUUUCCUUACUGACCUGCAUUAUCUUGUGGAUACCUGAGUGAAUUCCACACCACCCAUUUUAUAGAUGAAACCACUGAGACAUGGAGCAACUGACUGAGUAGUCACUGCCCCACCCCUGCCUGGAGCCUCACACAUGACUCGUCUCCUCUCAGUGACCACAGGAAAACAAGCUCAGGGCUCCCACUGAUUGUACAUUAUGGUGAGACGUGGUCUUGUAACACAGUGGUUAAGAAUGUGACUUUGGAGCCAGCCUGC
Molecule: non-coding RNA, 724 nt
Filed under: Pan troglodytes (chimpanzee)
Lineage: Eukaryota; Metazoa; Chordata; Mammalia; Primates; Hominidae
Source: RNAcentral